UUGGCACAGAAGCUCAUUCGCUAUAAGUGAAACAUUUAUCAUUAUAUCACAAACAAACAUCCACAAUUUAGCUGAUGCAUUCAAUCUGCAUAUGGUGAAAAUUGGCAAACCAGGUCAUCGACUUGAAAGUGGACAACCUCCUAACCAAAUUGCCACGGUCCCAAAGCCUGCAGAUCGGUGCUUGAGCCUCCGCUGGAAAAACUGAUAAUGAGUCCCUCGAUUCAUUGCCACCUAAUUUCCUCUCCACUGAAGACGAAUGGGGGCGCUUUCGGACAGUUAAUUGUUUAGCUUCGAGACCACUGCAUUCGAUAAACAAGCGAAACGCCAUUAUCUCAAAAAAAACAAAACACAAUCAUAAGCUACGAACUAGAGAAUUAGUAGUAAGUUCCUACCAUCCUUGCUAGAGUUACCGGCGCCGGAGGAGAUGGCGGUGGGUGGGUUGAGGGCGGCGGCGAACAAGAUGGAAUCGGACAGAGAGCGGCGAGGGAGGAAUCAACGGUGGAUUAGGGUUCAAUAAGGGGGGAAAGGAGAAAUCGACAGUGGUUUACCUCUUUAGGAUUUUGAAAUCGUGCUUUCAACAAAGCAGAAAACCUUUUCUCAUUUACGUGCGUGUCUUUUUUAUUUUUAUUUUUAAUUCCGUGUGUAAUAUCUACAUGGCACUUAGCCGGAACACGUCAUAUACCAGUUGCCGGAUUAUUUUUACGGGCCAUAAAUAAGAAAAAAAUGAAACGAUGGGUAUAAUUUUGUAAAUAUGCUUAGGGUGGGAUAUUUUUGAGAAAACGCCUAAACGAUGGGCC
This 797-nucleotide long non-coding RNA is filed under the name Salvia miltiorrhiza (redroot sage). RNAcentral's name for it is "long non-coding RNA (SMIL_LNC009276)". The record is from RNAcentral. Lineage: Eukaryota; Viridiplantae; Streptophyta; Magnoliopsida; Lamiales; Lamiaceae.